UACAACAUAGCACUAAUGCAUUGAAGCCCAUUCGAAAUUUGCAGUUAAGCGUGCUCAAGCUAGAGCAGUACUGGGAUGGGUGACCGCCUGAGAAUUUCUAGUGUUUUAC
Non-coding RNA from Picea glauca (white spruce), 109 nucleotides. The record is from Rfam. Lineage: Eukaryota; Viridiplantae; Streptophyta; Pinopsida; Pinales; Pinaceae.